UGGGGAAUAUUGCACAAUGGGGGAAACCAUGAUGCAGCGACGCCGCGUGAGCGAAGAAGGUUUUCGAAUCGUAAAGCUCUGUCCUAUGAGAAGAUAAUGACGGUAUCAUAGGAGGAAGCCCCGGCUAAAUACGUGCCAGCAGCCGCGGUAAUACGCAUGGGGCGAGCGUUGUCCGGAAUUAUUGGGCGUAAAGGGUACGUAGGCGGUCUAUUAAGUCAGGUGUGAAAGCGUGAGGCUUAACCUCAUUAAGCACUUGAAACUGAUAGACUUGAGUGAAGGAGAGGAAAGUGGAAGUCCUAGUGUAGCGGUGAAAUGCGUAGAUAUUAGGAGGAAUACCGGUGGCGAAGGCAACUUUCUGGACUAUUACUGAAGCUCAGGUACGAAAGCGUGGGGAGCAAACAGG
This 403-nucleotide ribosomal RNA is filed under the name Verrucomicrobiota bacterium. Its description in RNAcentral is "Verrucomicrobia bacterium partial 16S ribosomal RNA". It matches the Rfam family "Bacterial small subunit ribosomal RNA", at positions 355 to 776 of the family's 1533-position model. The record is from RNAcentral. Lineage: Bacteria; Pseudomonadati; Verrucomicrobiota.